Molecule: ribosomal RNA, 541 nt
Filed under: uncultured Gallionellaceae bacterium
Lineage: Bacteria; Pseudomonadati; Pseudomonadota; Betaproteobacteria; Nitrosomonadales; Gallionellaceae
Description: bacterial SSU rRNA
Rfam family: Bacterial small subunit ribosomal RNA
Source: RNAcentral
AGUGGGGGAUAACGUAGCGAAAGUUACGCUAAUACCGCAUAUGCCCUGAGGGGGAAAGGUGGGGAUCGAAAGACCUAUCGCUUUCGGAGUGGCCGAUAUCAGAUUAGCUAGUUGGUGGGGUAAAGGCCUACCAAGGCGACGAUCUGUAGCUGGUCUGAGAGGACGACCAGCCACACUGGGACUGAGACACGGCCCAGACUCCUACGGGAGGCAGCAGUGGGGAAUUUUGGACAAUGGGGGCAACCCUGAUCCAGCCAUGCCGCGUGAGUGAAGAAGGCCUUCGGGUUGUAAAGCUCUUUCAGCCGGAAAGAAAUCGUGCCGGCUAAUAUCCUGCGUGGAUGACGGUACCGGAAGAAGAAGCACCGGCUAACUACGUGCCAGCAGCCGCGGUAAUACGUAGGGUGCGAGCGUUAAUCGGAAUUACUGGGCGUAAAGCGUGCGCAGGCGGUUUUGUAAGACAGACGUGAAAUCUCCGGGCUUAACCUGGGAACUGCGUUUGUGACUGCAAGGCUAGAGUGCGGCAGAGGGGGGUAGAAUUCCA